RNAcentral lists this ribosomal RNA (304 nucleotides) under uncultured bacterium. RNAcentral's name for it is "partial 16S ribosomal RNA". It matches the Rfam family "Bacterial small subunit ribosomal RNA", at positions 506 to 807 of the family's 1533-position model. The record is from RNAcentral.
CAGCAGCAGCCGCGGUAAUACGGAGGGUGCAAGCGUUAAUCGGAAUUACUGGGCGUAAAGCGCACGCAGGCGGUCUGACAAGUCAGAUGUGAAAUCCCCGGGCUCAACCUGGGAACUGCAUUUGUGACUGUAUAGCUAGAGUACGGCAGAGGGGGAUGGAAUUCCGCGUGUAGCAGUGAAAUGCGUAGAUAUGCGGAGGAACACCGAUGGCGAAGGCAAUCCCCUGGGCCUGUACUGACGCUCAUGCACGAAAGCGUGGGGAGCAAACAGGAUUAGAGACCCCCGUAGUCCCUGUCUCUUAUAC